This 524-nucleotide ribosomal RNA is filed under the name uncultured bacterium. RNAcentral's name for it is "partial 16S ribosomal RNA". It matches the Rfam family "Bacterial small subunit ribosomal RNA", at positions 28 to 523 of the family's 1533-position model. The record is from RNAcentral.
GACGAACGCUGGCGGCGUGCCUAAUACAUGCAAGUCGAGCGCAGGAAACUGACGGAACUCUUCGGAGGGAAGGCAGCGGAAUGAGCGGCGGACGGGUGAGUAACACGUAAGGAACCUGCCUCAAGGAUUGGGAUAACUCCGAGAAAUCGGAGCUAAUACCGGAUAGUUCAACGGACCGCAUGGUCCGCUGAUGAAAGGCGCUUCGGCGUCACCUUGAGAGGGCCUUGCGGUGCAUUAGCUAGUUGGUGGGGUAACGGCCCACCAAGGCGACGAUGCAUAGCCGACCUGAGAGGGUGAUCGGCCACACUGGGACUGAGACACGGCCCAGACUCCUACGGGAGGCAGCAGUAGGGAAUCUUCCACAAUGGACGAAAGUCUGAUGGAGCAACGCCGCGUGAGUGAUGAAGGUUUUCGGAUCGUAAAACUCUGUUGUAAGGGAAGAACACGUACGAGAGGAAAUGCUCGUACCUUGACGGUACCUUACGAGAAAGCCACGGCUAACUACGUGCCAGCAGCCGCCGUAA